Long non-coding RNA from Lates calcarifer (barramundi perch), 5732 nucleotides. RefSeq lists it as uncharacterized. The record is from RefSeq and is a predicted model, not a curated record. Lineage: Eukaryota; Metazoa; Chordata; Actinopteri; Centropomidae. The transcript has 3 exons.
UACUGUAUGAACACAACUUGGAAUAGCAGGGAGAAGAGGUUCUAGGAAUGAAAAACUGCCUUUUCCUCCUUGGCAAACAGCUUAAAAUAGUAAACAAAUGACAGCCGAGGAGGAAGAGGAAGCUAAGGGGAGAUGUGAUACAGCAUAUUUCAGUCUUUCCGAUGCAUAUGGCACGUUGUCCACAUGGCCUGCCUGUGUGUGUGUGAGAGAGCCUCCGCUAUAGGUUUGCAACACUCCGAGCUCCGUGACUGUUUUCAUCAAAGGAACACUGGCCUCCUUUGGAGACUCGCCCUUCCGUGGGAAGAAUCACGUUUGCAUCUCACCUCUGAUGACCUGAGCGGGAAGGCAGAAACAGGCUCAGCAUGGCUGGACUUUGGCCAAAACACACUAAAUGGACCUUCGUUAAAGAACAGCCUAACCACUACAACAGAUGGUGCAAUGGAAAACAUACCACGAGCUCCACGAUUUGUGAUAUUUUUGCAGUCUGUACUUUUAGUGAAAGGAAAAAAGAUGUAUGAAUAUGUAUGUAUACUAUUACUCGUAGUUUGUAACUUGGGCAAUGUACAGCACAGAAGUAGGGAGGGAUAUUGGGAAGACUGGCCUCCUCUCUUUCUGAACGCAAAUGCAUGGCACUUUGGGAUAAUUGGAACUAUACAGAGACAGUCUAGAUAAGGGGCUUAUAGGAGUGAAUAGGUUGAAUCAAAAAGGCUGCCUGAAUGACUUGCCUCUGACUCUGUCUUGAUUGACACUCUAAAUACAGUCAUGACGGGGGAGCUGGAGCUCCAGCUUAGGGAAAGCUUCUGCCUGGGGUUUUCCUGCUCCCUUGUUUUUAAUUAGUCACACUGAAACCUGUAACUGGAGCUGAGGCUUAAACAAAUUUAAUUGCUACAUAAUAGCUAGUUUAAUACAAUUGUGGAGCAAUUAGGAUGGAUAUUUGUUGCCGGCUGGCAUAAUAACGCUUGCGGUGUCUUGCUCUCUCUCCCUCCCCUCCUUGCAGUAUUGAAGUGUUUUCUGCCAGGGGAUUUCUCUAUGGGCACCGGGCACAGAUGUGCUCCUGAGUACAGCAUAUGGGGCUCUAGCUCCAUCAAAAAACAUUGCUCCAGAGUAGCAUUUACUCCAUCAUUCCCCAGUCCUGCUCAAAUAUCCCAAUUAGAAUUAAUUACUAUAUCUAUCUCCAGGCUGUGGUUUGAUUUCCUCAUAUACCCAAGAUGAGCUUGGGAUGCCAUGUGUGAUUUGUUAUGGACAGUUGGGGCAAAGGUUCCUGUGCUGAUUUGAGGAAUUCACGCUCUUGGCCAUGUCUAUUCAAGAUUUUGAUUGCAUAGCAUAGUUGCACCAAACUAUUGGCAGCACCAUCAGCUAUAUGACUGUCAUAGCUGUCAAAUGUCUCAUUACUCCAUGUCAAGUCAAAGGUGUAUUCAUAUUUAUGUCAUGAGGCUGCACUGUAUGGGAAAUGGUGGUACAACCCAUUAUUUAUUGAAGCGACUGUGACAGACAAUGUACCUGAGGAAGUCUGAAAAGUGAAAAAUAACAUUCCUCUCCCUUAAUAAGGCUGUCUUGUCAAACAUUUAUGGGACAGAAAGAAAACAAGGGCAGAGGUGUACGUUUAUUGACAUCAUGAUUGGGGAAGACUGUCACACAAUAUGGGUUAGGGAGAGUACCAAAGAAAAAUCCGGCAUUGUGUUUGGAGGAAGUGCUUAUCACUAAAUUGCCCCGAGGUCUUUUCAAAAGAGCAACAGGCUGUGUUUCAUAGUGUUUUGUGUGUGUGUGUGUGUGAUAUGUGUGUGUGUGAAACCUAUAACCCAUAUCCAUUACCAGGAAACUGCAAUACAAGAGUUUCACUCCAAUACCAGAUUUCCAUUAUUUGAAAAAAGAAAAAUAGACUCCUUGUCAUGCAAAAUGCCUGCAGGAAAAUGUUCAAAUACAAGUAUCACUCAAUUUGUGAACAAAUAUGCAUAUUCUUAUACAGAAAAUACAUAUGUCUGAUAUGGUCGAAGUACAAUAUGGAAGAUACAUACAUGUACAAGAUGGAUUUUUUUUUACAAAUAAUCCACAAUAUCAGCCAAUAUGAGAAUACAAUUUGGCACCAAAAUGCUCUCACAUGUAAAACUAGAAACAUAUAAUCCUACAGUAACUUGCAGACGUGGCACAGUAAUUAGAAUUUUAUCAGAUAUACUGAAUCUAUCAAAUAAAAUAUCUCUAGUGGGUAGUAAACAGGAAUGUCAGUGACAUGAGAAGCUUUUGUAAUUCUGAUAAAUAAUGCAGAGAGGUACAUGCCUAAGUCCAUCAUUAGCAAAAAUGUUGCUGCAAUUUAGCAAAUGAGGCAAACAGGAGAAUAAUACAUGUCCCUACUGGUGCUUCAAUUAUUGAUACAAACUCUAAUUACACAAUUAUAAGGCAAAUGGAGCUGGGUAUUUGAGGGGCACACGGUGGAGUGCUCUGAAAGCCAUAAUUGGGAUCUGAUGGUCAGGGGCCGCUCAUUAAUUGACCCCUGCUGCUCUGCGCUGAACAGAACCGUCAAUAGAGGGCUGUUAACUAUGCAACAUUCACAUGCACGAAAGCACUGUAAAUGAAGAUGGCAGCAGCCACUCUGCUGGAGCUGUUGUCAGCUGUAGCUGGGGUGGGAUGAUGGGGACGGGCUGGUAACACACUUUUCCAAACCCCCUACCCAGCAACAACAUCACCAAACAAUGAGAGGAGACGGCUUACACCCAGCAAGACUCUUUGAAACUAAAGAUUCCAACAGAGAAUGGCGUGUCUGUGCCAGCAAUGAGAUGGAGUGCCCACUGAGCCCUGGGGGCUUUGGCCAGACAAACGCAGUGCCCAGAGGUGGCAUCCAUUUACUGGUUAGUGGACAUUUGGGAAGCACAGCAGAGCUGUGUUGUAUCUCUUUUACUGAGGGAAAGAAGUUGUGGCACCUACAAGAGCAAAGACAGAUGAUGGAAAACAAAUUACUGGACACUUCAAGAAUUAUCUUAACUUCAGGCAACAUCUAAAUCUCAGCCUGAUUUGUUACACCACAUGUGGGCAUAAAGGGACAGGGAAAAUAGAUGUGGACGUAGUUCAUGCUAGCAGAGUUUGAUGUUCCAGUCAGGAACUGGCCCAGUGACCAGGCACCCGUCCAGUAAGCUGUCCAGCCACCCCAUCAACCAGACAAAUGAACAAAGUGUUUGUGAAAAGACAUCAGCAGGGGACACCCUGCACCUGGGGCUGAGUAAACUUUUUUCAUGCUUUUCAACAACUCACCCUUUUUCUUUCUGCUCCCUUUUUUAUCACCAGGGGGUAUAACACACUUUGAAAAGAAACAUUUCCUACCGCUUGCCUUAAGACAACCCUUUGUUUUUUUCUUGCCACCUCCUGUUGGCAGAACGCUGUUUAAUAGUCCGCUGAUAAUGUUCCUUUUCUGCUCAUAAGUCCACAUCCAUUUCUGCAGGGGGCCUAAAGCUGAAGGCGGGAGGAGUUUGUUGAUAGGGAACAUAAAUCAUAAAUAUGCUACUUUACUUUCCAGAUGGUAGCCAUAAUGGAUAUAUACAGUGUAACAUAUAUUUAGACAUACAGUGAUUGACCAGCAGGCAUGAGAGAGCAGAGGUCAGAAUGUUUAUGUCCCUCAUGAUUAUAAGUCAUUGCAGUUCAAGACAAUGAGGAACAUUUGCAAAUGAUGCACAGGGGAAUGACUCCAUCCUGUAAAAACACUGAACCCACAGGGAUAUGUGGAUUAACUGUUUGACCCCCUCAACUUCAGUGACUGAGCACACCGGUAACUUUCCUUAUGUGUGAGCCUGUACCAUUUUCUCUGUUGCAUCAUGCUUGCAUCAUUACUUAGCCAGCAACUGCACAUCCCUACUCACCUUAAAGUGCCUCAAAAGUAACUUUAAAUUGGAAGAUAUAUUUAAAUUUUCAGAAAAUAACAUUAUUUUUUUUCUCUGAACAUUCCUGCUCAGGGAUGUCCUGAGAGUCAUCAUGCAAGAUCAGGACUGUGUGCUCUACAUUUCCAUUGUAGGCAAGCGCCACAAUAUACUAGUAUGAAAUUAAAAGACAAGGUUUAGAUUAGCUCAGAUCCUAUUUAGCCUCAGAAUAAAGUGUUUAGAAAAGUUAGUUAAUUUCAUGAUGGAGCACAACAGAACUGAUUAUUUUAGGUGGUAGUUCAAAACCUUAGGAAAUAGGUUUAUUUACUUUCUUGCUAUGACUUAGAUGAGAAGAUGGAUAGCACCUUUAUAUCUGUGCAGUAAAUACAAGGCUAAAGCUCAGCCAGUUAGAUAAGUUUUGCAUUAAGACUGAAAACAUCUGUCUGGUUAGUAUAAAAAAGAAGUGUAAAAACAAUGUGUGGUUUUAUUUGUGGUUCAACAAGUUAAGUAGAGAGCAUUAGAAGUUCUCAAAGGUGUAUUUUCUUACCUUCAGACAGAGCCAGGCUAACUGUUUCCCUCUGCUUUAAUCUAGGCUUUGUUAACUGGUUGCUGGUUGUAGCAUUGAGGUGUGCUAAGGUAGAAAUUUUUGCUUUCAGUAAUUUAUAUAUGUUUUAUUGCUGGCCAGUUUGUAGAAGCCAUGCUAAUCUGCACUGAACAGCUAAUGUAUCAGCUGUAUUGACAUUAUGUGUGAACUAGCCAGAAACAGAUGAAUCAACAUGCAGGAUUCAGAACUCAUUGGAAACCCCAGCUCUCUUUCUGUUUCUUCCCUUCAGUCUCUCUCAGUUUUCCUGUAGUCUCUGUAGCACAAAAUUUUGCUCAAGUUGAAACAUGUAUAACUUGCAUGUUCCCAUCUUCACUAAUUCAUCUCUAAUUGUAUCUUGUUCCCUCUAAAUACACUAUUACAUUUACCAGACAGUUCUAUCAAUCUCCUCAUCAAUCUCACACCCUCACACUUCCUGAACAGUUCUCACACCAAAACCAGAUGAACUGGCAAUUGUAUUACGGUUGGUUAUCUACCGUGUUGAUAGACAGCUGCUCAAGCUCACAGCCGGCGAGGACUAGCCAAGUUUCUGCAUGACUUAUAAAAACCCAUACGGCAUUCAAGCAAACCAGUCACACUCUCACCUAACCUGGCUGAAGGAAAAGGACUGUGACAGAUAUCGAUUAUGGAUUAAUUGAUUAAAAAAACCCAGGGCUUACAAAGUAACAUUAUAUAAUAUUUGUAUCAAUAGGUUCUCUGCAAGGUACAGAGUAAGUUUAAAAUUACUUUAGAUCUGUAAACAGCUAGCUUGUUUACAUUAGCUGUCUAACAUCAAGUGCACAGCAGAGAGAAGAAUGAAAACAACAUGUUGCAAUGGUACUCAGUUUUUCUAUGCAACUUAGCUAAUUACUGGAAUGUUUUCAAGAAUGACUAAUAAACUUUGUCAUUCCAGAUGACAAGUUUAUUGAGAUACUUUAAGAAGGCAAAAGGGAAAGAAAGAGAUGAGGACCAGCAUUAGCAAUCAGUUCAGAGGAAGACAGGGACAGAGGCAGCAGGAAUGAGAAUGAUGGAAAAUGGAAAAGAUGAAAGACAAGUGCAGUGUUCAGAAAUGAGACUAUCACAGGUAACUUGACUCCUCAUAAUACCAUCCACCAAGAGUUAAGUAGCCAAAAUUGCCAGUCAGCUGUUUUUUACUGUAACUUUUGCCAGCAAAGAUUGCUGUUAAUCACACGUCCAUCCAUGUUUUGAUUCCAAGCUUGCAAUUUGUUAUGAUUUGUAUGUAAUAUGUUAAGUCAAUGUCUACACUCGUGUUCAAUUAGCUAAUUAAAUAUCUAUAUCUUCUCCCCAUA